GUGAGGAAUUUUGGACAAUGGGCGAAAGCCUGAUCCAGCAACGCCGCGUGGACGAUGAAGGUCUUCGGAUCGUAAAGUCCUGUCGAGUGGGACGAAAGGCGCGGACGUGAACAGCGUCCGCUCCUGACUGUACCGCCAAAGGAAGCCCCGGCUAACUCCGUGCCAGCAGCCGCGGUAAUACGGAGGGGGCCAGCGUUGUUCGGAAUUAUUGGGCGUAAAGGGCGCGUAGGCGGCGAGGUCAGUCAGACGUGAAAUCCCCCGGCUUAACCGGGGAACUGCGUCUGAAACUGCCCCGCUCGAGGCCGGGAGAGGAGAGUGGAAUUCCCAGUGUAGCGGUGAAAUGCGUAGAUAUUGGGAGGAACACCGGUGGCGAAGGCGGCUCUCUGGACCGGUUCUGACGCUGAGGCGCGAAAGCCAGGGUAGCAAACAGGAUUAGAUACCCCAGUAGUCC
Molecule: ribosomal RNA, 451 nt
Filed under: uncultured bacterium
Lineage: Bacteria
Description: bacterial SSU rRNA
Rfam family: Bacterial small subunit ribosomal RNA
Source: RNAcentral